This 1836-nucleotide ribosomal RNA is filed under the name Salmonella enterica subsp. enterica serovar Hadar str. SA20026260. RNAcentral describes it as "bacterial LSU rRNA". It matches the Rfam family "Bacterial large subunit ribosomal RNA", at positions 1122 to 2925 of the family's 2925-position model. The record is from RNAcentral. Lineage: Bacteria; Pseudomonadati; Pseudomonadota; Gammaproteobacteria; Enterobacterales; Enterobacteriaceae.
UUUAAAGAAAGCGUAAUAGCUCACUGGUCGAGUCGGCCUGCGCGGAAGAUGUAACGGGGCUAAACCAUGCACCGAAGCUGCGGCAGCGACGCUUAUGCGUUGUUGGGUAGGGGAGCGUUCUGUAAGCCUGUGAAGGUGGCCUGUGAGGGUUGCUGGAGGUAUCAGAAGUGCGAAUGCUGACAUAAGUAACGAUAAAGCGGGUGAAAAGCCCGCUCGCCGGAAGACCAAGGGUUCCUGUCCAACGUUAAUCGGGGCAGGGUGAGUCGACCCCUAAGGCGAGGCCGAAAGGCGUAGUCGAUGGGAAACGGGUUAAUAUUCCCGUACUUGGUGUUACUGCGAAGGGGGGACGGAGAAGGCUAUGUUGGCCGGGCGACGGUUGUCCCGGUUUAAGCGUGUAGGCUGGUUUUCCAGGCAAAUCCGGAAAAUCAAGGCUGAGGCGUGACGACGAGGCACUACGGUGCUGAAGCAACAAAUGCCCUGCUUCCAGGAAAAGCCUCUAAGCAUCAGGUAACAUCAAAUCGUACCCCAAACCGACACAGGUGGUCAGGUAGAGAAUACCAAGGCGCUUGAGAGAACUCGGGUGAAGGAACUAGGCAAAAUGGUGCCGUAACUUCGGGAGAAGGCACGCUGACACGUAGGUGAAGUGAUUUACUCAUGGAGCUGAAGUCAGUCGAAGAUACCAGCUGGCUGCAACUGUUUAUUAAAAACACAGCACUGUGCAAACACGAAAGUGGACGUAUACGGUGUGACGCCUGCCCGGUGCCGGAAGGUUAAUUGAUGGGGUCAGCGCAAGCGAAGCUCCUGAUCGAAGCCCCGGUAAACGGCGGCCGUAACUAUAACGGUCCUAAGGUAGCGAAAUUCCUUGUCGGGUAAGUUCCGACCUGCACGAAUGGCGUAAUGAUGGCCAGGCUGUCUCCACCCGAGACUCAGUGAAAUUGAACUCGCUGUGAAGAUGCAGUGUACCCGCGGCAAGACGGAAAGACCCCGUGAACCUUUACUAUAGCUUGACACUGAACAUUGAGCCUUGAUGUGUAGGAUAGGUGGGAGGCUUUGAAGUGUGGACGCCAGUCUGCAUGGAGCCGACCUUGAAAUACCACCCUUUAAUGUUUGAUGUUCUAACGUGGACCCGUUACCCGGGUUGCGGACAGUGUCUGGUGGGUAGUUUGACUGGGGCGGUCUCCUCCUAAAGAGUAACGGAGGAGCACGAAGGUUGGCUAAUCCUGGUCGGACAUCAGGAGGUUAGUGCAAUGGCAUAAGCCAGCUUGACUGCGAGCGUGACGGCGCGAGCAGGUGCGAAAGCAGGUCAUAGUGAUCCGGUGGUUCUGAAUGGAAGGGCCAUCGCUCAACGGAUAAAAGGUACUCCGGGGAUAACAGGCUGAUACCGCCCAAGAGUUCAUAUCGACGGCGGUGUUUGGCACCUCGAUGUCGGCUCAUCACAUCCUGGGGCUGAAGUAGGUCCCAAGGGUAUGGCUGUUCGCCAUUUAAAGUGGUACGCGAGCUGGGUUUAGAACGUCGUGAGACAGUUCGGUCCCUAUCUGCCGUGGGCGCUGGAGAACUGAGGGGGGCUGCUCCUAGUACGAGAGGACCGGAGUGGACGCAUCACUGGUGUUCGGGUUGUCAUGCCAAUGGCACUGCCCGGUAGCUAAAUGCGGAAGAGAUAAGUGCUGAAAGCAUCUAAGCACGAAACUUGCCCCGAGAUGAGUUCUCCCUGAGACUUAGAGUCUCCUGAAGGAACGUUGAAGACGACGACGUUGAUAGGCCGGGUGUGUAAGCGCAGCGAUGCGUUGAGCUAACCGGUACUAAUGAACCGUGAGGCUUAACCUUACAACGCCGAAG